GUAGGUGGCAAGCGUUAUCCGGAAUUAUUGGGCGUAAAGCGCGCGUAGGCGGUUUUUUAAGUCUGAUGUGAAAGCCCACGGCUCAACCGUGGAGGGUCAUUGGAAACUGGAAAACUUGAGUGCAGAAGAGGAAAGUGGAAUUCCAUGUGUAGCGGUGAAAUGCGCAGAGAUAUGGAGGAACACCAGUGGCGAAGGCGACUUUCUGGUCUGUAACUGACGCUGAUGUGCGAAAGCGUGGGGAUCAAACAGGAUUAGAUACCCUGGUAGUCCACGCCGUAAACGAUGAGUGCUAAGUGUUAGGGGGUUUCCGCCCCUUAGUGCUGCAGCUAACGCAUUAAGCACUCCGCCUGGGGAGUACGACCGCAAGGUUG
Molecule: ribosomal RNA, 371 nt
Filed under: uncultured bacterium
Lineage: Bacteria
Description: bacterial SSU rRNA
Rfam family: Bacterial small subunit ribosomal RNA
Source: RNAcentral